Molecule: ribosomal RNA, 254 nt
Filed under: uncultured bacterium
Lineage: Bacteria
Description: partial 16S ribosomal RNA
Rfam family: Bacterial small subunit ribosomal RNA
Source: RNAcentral
UACGAAGGGGGGCUAGCGUUGCUCGGAAUCACUGGGCGUAAAGGGUGCGUAGGCGGGUCUUAAGUCAGAGGUGAAAUCCUGGAGCUCAACUCCAGAACUGCCUUUGAUACUGAGGAUCUUGAGUUCGGGAGAGGUGAGUGGAACUGCGAGUGUAGAGGUGAAAUUCGUAGAUAUUCGCAAGAACACCAGUGGCGAAGGCGGCUCACUGGCCCGAUACUGACGCUGAGGCACGAAAGCGUGGGGAGCAAACAGGG